RNAcentral lists this ribosomal RNA (405 nucleotides) under uncultured bacterium. RNAcentral's name for it is "partial 16S ribosomal RNA". It matches the Rfam family "Bacterial small subunit ribosomal RNA", at positions 29 to 525 of the family's 1533-position model. The record is from RNAcentral.
AUUGAACGCUGGCGGCAGGCCUAACACAUGCAAGUCGAACGAGUGGCGGACGGGUGAGUAAUGUCUGGGAAACUGCCCGAUGGAGGGGGAUAACUACUGGAAACGGUAGCUAAUACCGCAUACCAUCGGAUGUGCCCAGAUGGGAUUAGCUUGUAGGUGGGGUAACGGCUCACCUAGGCGACGAUCCCUAGCGGGUCUGAGAGGAUGACCAGCCACAUGGGAACGGGGACACGGUCCAGACCCCUACGGGAGGCAGCAGUGGGGAAUAUUGCACAAUGGGCGCAAGCCUGAUGCAGCCAUGCCGCGUGUAUGAAGAGGGCCUUCGGGUUGUAAAGUACUUUCAGCGGGGAGGCGUUACCCGCAGAAGAAGCACCGGCUAACUCCGUGCCAGCGGCCGCGGUAAUU